Molecule: transfer RNA, 68 nt
Filed under: Loxodonta africana (African savanna elephant)
Lineage: Eukaryota; Metazoa; Chordata; Mammalia; Proboscidea; Elephantidae
Rfam family: tRNA
About the family: Transfer RNA (tRNA) molecules are approximately 80 nucleotides in length. Their secondary structure includes four short double-helical elements and three loops (D, anti-codon, and T loops). Further hydrogen bonds mediate the characteristic L-shaped molecular structure. tRNAs have two regions of fundamental functional importance: the anti-codon, which is responsible for specific mRNA codon recognition, and the 3' end, to which the tRNAs corresponding amino acid is attached (by aminoacyl-tRNA synthetases). tRNAs cope with the degeneracy of the genetic code in two manners: having more than one tRNA (with a specific anti-codon) for a particular amino acid; and 'wobble' base-pairing, i.e. permitting non-standard base-pairing at the 3rd anti-codon position.
Source: Rfam by way of RNAcentral
GGAGGCAUAGCAGUGAAAGCACUUGGCUGCUAACCAAAAGAUUGGUGGUUUGAACCCACCAGCCACCC